CUGUUUGCCGUGUGGGAAAUGAUUGGUAAUAGCCACGUUGGCGUGGCCCUAAAUGGCAUCCUCCUUGGUGAUUCAAGAUAAACGGCAGAGGGAAACGCUCAGGGUGUAGUAGCGAGAGAAAAGAGGCGGGAAAUAAAGUGCAAAUGCGCGGGAAGAGUUUGUUGGAAACCGCACACGCAGAGGGAGCAAAAUGCAUCAGAGUCCUCUCCAGGCGCUAGGGCUGUGAUGGAGCCUUCAAGUCCUUUUUCAUCUUUUCCCGGAUGUUCCCAAGGUCCCACAAAUUGGGCCUGCUGCCGCUGUUGUCGCUAGGAAAGGAAAAAACAAAAAAUUUCCUCCCCUAACAAAGAGGUGCAGGCAGGCACGUGCCGGUCUCCGGCACAGGAGCCAAAGGUGCGCUAAGUGCGUGGGCGCCCACUGGAAAGCCCGGACUGGGAACCGAGGGUCCGGCUUACCUGCCCGAGGCCGAGAGGCCCAGAAGAUGCUGGAGGAAGACAGCGCCGCCUGGCUUUCAAAGCUGUCGGGAUGAGCCCUGCUGGACCUGUCUGGGAAGCUUGUUAAACUGCACCAAUGAACUCAUCUAUUCCCCAAAUUGUGCUGAUGACCUCAUCAUCUGCAGCUGUGCGGCUCGAAGCUCGCCCACCCUUCAACUCCCCGGGGAUCACAUCUGGUGGGGAGCCUUGGUACCUGGGGCGGACACAUCUGGAGGUGACUGUCUCUGGAAAUGGAGUGUUUUGUAACCUCCUUUCACUCUUAUCGAUGCAGCCAAGUGGCAGAGAAGGCUUCGGCAAUUUUCUCCCUUGGAAGACAGCCCUUUGGUCUUCAUUCAGUAAGGAUUUGCAGGGGAAAACAGUGAGGUUAAGCUUAGCGCUUCAGAUCCCUUUUCAUUUUUCAUGUAUACAUUCAUGAGUCAUUGCAGAAAUGAUAUUGGCGGGCGCCUAGGGGGCUCUUUCGGCUAAGUUUUGACUCUGGGUUUCAGCUCAGGUCAUGAUCUCACGGUUCAUGAGUUCAAGCCCUGCAUCAGGCUCCAUCCGCGACGAAAGUACAGAGCCCGCUGGGGAUUCUCUCUCUCCCUCUUUCUCUGCCCUUCCCCUGUUCAUGCUCUCUCUCUCUCCAAAUAAAUAAAUUAACUGGAAAAAAAAAAAGAAAUGA
Molecule: long non-coding RNA, 1149 nt
Filed under: Felis catus (domestic cat)
Lineage: Eukaryota; Metazoa; Chordata; Mammalia; Carnivora; Felidae
Description: lncRNA (ENSFCAG00000044666.2)
Source: RNAcentral